This 466-nucleotide long non-coding RNA is filed under the name Carica papaya (papaya). RNAcentral's name for it is "long non-coding RNA (CPAP_LNC014263)". Lineage: Eukaryota; Viridiplantae; Streptophyta; Magnoliopsida; Brassicales; Caricaceae. The record is from RNAcentral.
CCCACUAAACCGAGCGGCCCAAGAUAAUUCACUUCGGGAGGAUUUAGACAGACUAUUUGAGAUGGUGGAAGCUCUCGUAGCUGCCCAGCAAAGGCGAAAGGAGAGAAGGGAGUUACCCGGACCUCCUCCGCUAUCGCAGGUUGAGCCCCCGCUACAGCAGGCUGAUCCCUAGCCACCCCGGCAGGAGCCUGCUCCUCCACAGUACCACCCGGCACCACAGCCGCGGUACGACCCGGUACCACAGCCACGGUACCACCAGGCACCGCCACAGCACAUUUCAGUACCCCCACCACAUCAGCAGGUGCCACCACAGGGACCCCCAGUUCACCCUCAGCCGGCCCCAGUCCCUCUACCUCGGGACCCCGCUCCUUCCUUGAUCGACCCCGGCUUCAUAGAGAGGUACAGAAGACUGAACCCUUCUACUUUUGCAGGGGGAUCCUCUUUUGAAGAGGCCCAAUACUGGCUG